Molecule: ribosomal RNA, 503 nt
Filed under: uncultured bacterium
Lineage: Bacteria
Description: partial 16S ribosomal RNA
Rfam family: Bacterial small subunit ribosomal RNA
Source: RNAcentral
AUUGAACGCUGGCGGCAAGCUUAACACAUGCAAGUCGAGCGGGGUGAUGGUGCUUGCACUAUCACUUAGCGGCGGACGGGUGAGUAAUGCUUAGGAAUCUGCCUAUUAGUGGGGGACAACAUCUCGAAAGGGAUGCUAAUACCGCAUACGUCCUACGGGAGAAAGCAGGGGAUCACUUGUGACCUUGCGCUAAUAGAUGAGCCUAAGUCGGAUUAGCUAGUUGGUGGGGUAAAGGCCUACCAAGGCGACGAUCUGUAGCGGGUCUGAGAGGAUGAUCCGCCACACUGGGACUGAGACACGGCCCAGACUCCUACGGGAGGCAGCAGUGGGGAAUAUUGGACAAUGGGGGGAACCCUGAUCCAGCCAUGCCGCGUGUGUGAGGAAGGCCUUAUGGUUGUAAAGCACUUUAAGCGAGGAGGAGGCUCUUUUGGUUAAUACCCAAGAUGAGUGGACGUUACUCGCAGAAUAAGCACCGGCUAACUCUGUGCCAGCCGCCGCGGUAA